RNAcentral lists this long non-coding RNA (876 nucleotides) under Homo sapiens (human). Its description in RNAcentral is "long intergenic non-protein coding RNA 342". The record is from RNAcentral. Lineage: Eukaryota; Metazoa; Chordata; Mammalia; Primates; Hominidae.
GACAGAUAAUCAGGAGAAGAAAAGGAGAUCCAGAAUCAUGACAGAGAGAUGACCUUUGCCAAGAGCACAGCCAUCUUUCACUGUCACAGAGAGGUAGGACAAAACGAUUGGUGUUCAAGAAUUGGUUUGUAGCACAAUAUUUUAACUAUGUCCUUUAAAAAGUUUCUCCACAGACACUACCCAAAGCAGUCCUUCACUACAGUGGCAGACAGACCUGAAAAUUUUCAUCUGAAGCAGCAGAGUGAACUGCAGAGUCAGGUCACCAACCAGUGUGGAGGCUAAAAGCGGGCCUCUUUGGGGAUUCCAGGUGGAAGUGUUGGACAUCUGUAGUAUUCCUGGUCUCAAAUCAUCCUGAUAUUCUUCAUUUUGUUAUUCACAUUGGACUAGGGCAAGGAAAUGAGUUCUGCAGGAACAAAGAUCACCACAACUGGCUCCCCUUCAACUAUGUUAGAUGGCAACUUGCCUUCAGUAUGGUGAAACACAUCAGUUAAGACUGGGGUUGUGCAUGGCAGGACUUUCUACAAGGACACCCAGUCUCCUUAAUAAACAUGAGAUGCUCUCUUUCCAGAAGUUCUCUUGCCUGACACAGCAUAGGAAGAUGCUGAACGGCCACACAGUGACCCAUUGAGAUAGAAUCUCACUAUGUUGACCAGGCUGGUCUUGAACUCUUGGCACCCAAGCGAUCCUUUUGCCUGGAAUCCCAAAGUGUCAGAUUUACUGAAGAAUAUUUCAUUGUAAUUACUUUUUAUACUUUAUAGGUCAAGAGCUCUGUUUUAAAGACAAAAUUUAUUGAAUAUACUUUUUCAAACAAAGUUUCAUGUUCUAAUCAUUGUCUGAUUUCAGCAUUAAAUGAAACACAGUAAAGAAAGUUGGGCU